UCCGGCGUGGCGCAAUGGUAGCGCGAGGGCCUGUUAAGCCCCAGGUUGCAGGUUCGAAUCCUGCCGCCGGAG
This 72-nucleotide transfer RNA is filed under the name Candidatus Nealsoniibacteriota bacterium. RNAcentral describes it as "Candidatus Nealsonbacteria bacterium tRNA-Asn". It matches the Rfam family "tRNA". Rfam says of the family: Transfer RNA (tRNA) molecules are approximately 80 nucleotides in length. Their secondary structure includes four short double-helical elements and three loops (D, anti-codon, and T loops). The record is from RNAcentral. Lineage: Bacteria; Candidatus Nealsoniibacteriota.